This 443-nucleotide ribosomal RNA is filed under the name uncultured bacterium. RNAcentral describes it as "partial 16S ribosomal RNA". It matches the Rfam family "Bacterial small subunit ribosomal RNA", at positions 338 to 795 of the family's 1533-position model. The record is from RNAcentral.
CCUACGGGUGGCAGCAGUGGGGAAUAUUGCGCAAUGGGCGCAAGCCUGACCCAGCAACGCCGCGUGAAGGAAGAAGGAUUUCGGGUUGUAAACUUCUUUUAUCAGGGACGAAGCAAGAGACGGUACCUGAAGAAUAAGCCACGGCUAACUACGUGCAAGCAGCCGCGGUAAUACGUAGGGGGCAAGCGUUAUCCGGAUUUACUGGGUGUAAAGGGCGUGUAGGCGGGAGUGCAAGUCAGAUGUGAAAACAAAGGGCUCAACCCAGAGCCUGCAUUUGAAACUGUACAUCUUGAGUGCUGGAGAGGCAAGCGGAAUUCCGAGUGUAGCGGUGAAAUGCGUAGAUAUACGGAGGAACACCAGUGGCGAAGGCGGCUUACUGGACAGUAACUGACGCUGAGGCGCGAAAGCGUGGGGAGCAAACAGGAUUAGAUACCCGAGUAGUC